This 115-nucleotide non-coding RNA is filed under the name Streptococcus parauberis. RNAcentral describes it as "PreQ1-II sequence". It matches the Rfam family "PreQ1-II (pre queuosine) riboswitch aptamer". From Rfam's summary of the family: Q is a hyper modified nucleoside present in some anticodons in tRNAs (Try, Asn, Asp and His). Lineage: Bacteria; Bacillati; Bacillota; Bacilli; Lactobacillales; Streptococcaceae. The record is from RNAcentral.
UAUGCUAUAAUAAUUGAGUUGCCGUGCAACCCUUGGUGCUUAAGUUCCUUUCACCAAGCAUAUUAUACGCGAGAUAAAGAAGUAUCUUUAUUUUACGCCAAAGGAGAAUCUUAUG